RNAcentral lists this unclassified non-coding RNA (142 nucleotides) under uncultured fungus. Its description in RNAcentral is "sequence contains ITS1". The record is from RNAcentral. Lineage: Eukaryota; Fungi.
CAGAGAACAUGCCUCUCGGGGUAUAUCUCCCACCCUUUGUUUAUAACACCUUUGUUGCUUUGGCAGGCUUUAGUUUAGUCUGUGCCUGCCAAGGACCCUAAAAUUCUGAUAUUAUGCAGUCCGAGUAUGAUGCAAUGAUUUA